CGGCCCUUCCUCGGGGCGGCUCGGGCGCCGGCCGCUGCGCGCCCGCCCCUCGCUCCUCUGGCCUCGGGGGCUGAGGGUCCCAGUCCGGUGCGGUGCCUUCCCCUCAGCCCCGGUGCUCGACCCCUGGCCUCGGGCUUCCCUCCUGCCCGGCGCACGGAGCCGGGCCGCCGAGCUCGUAAGGCCGCGUGGGGGGCGCAUGGGGAGAGGAGCGCCGCGCGGAGGCGGCGAGGGCAGGGGACGGCCACCCCGGAAAGACUGCGACAUCCCUGGGUCUGUGCUGUGAAGCCAAGCGGUAGGGAUGGCAAGCGAUGUUAUUUAUUUUACUCGGAAUUCGAUUUAGGUGGCCCGGGGGAAAGGUGGCUUAUGAGUUUGGAACUGGGUUUUACAGCGAGGGAGGGGAAGCCCUUGCGUCAAGGGGAGGGUGGGGUGGUCGAGGGCAGAGGAUCUGGCUGCUCCGGUGGGUUUGGCAGACGACUUCUUUCCAUUCCUCAGUGGGAGACUUCAGGGACCUUUUGGUUAUUUGAGCAUGUCCGGAAAGUUGUAAGUCGUGUGUGCGUGGCGAGGGGAUGCCUUGAGGGUUUCCAAAGGCCCAUGUUCCUCCCUAACCCAGGGGGCGGAGAGCUUGCAUUCUGUUGGCUGUGGAUGUUUAUUUCCAUCUCGUGUAUAGGCUGAAGAAUCUGGGAGGAGGAGAAAAAGCCAGAAACCAAAUUGGUGGCCCCGGGCGGAUGGGUUGCAGUUGGAAGGGUCCCGAGGGAGCUUGAAGCCUUAUUCUCAGAGUCGCUCACUCCCCGCACCCCACUUGAGCACCGAGGUCAGCCAGGCGCUAGUCACGCCGGUCAAUUUGUCUCAGCCUCCCUUUUGAGUCCUUUGGUACCCUGACCUUGGGUAGCGGGAGGUGGCAUACUCAGAGAGCCUUGGGGGCCCCAGCCUUCAACUCCCGGGGCUGCCACCUUUCCGGGAGUAGGUGGACACGUGGGGCUCUGCCCUUCUGAGCCCAGCGCUGUUUAGAUUUAAUAAGCAAUUGUAAAGUGACUGAGGUGGGUAGCAGGAUCAUUUCUUACAUCCCAUUAGGGCCUUAUGACGUCUGCAGGUCCCUUUAACUCGGCUUCUGUCAUUAUCCUACACUAGAAGCAAGUAGUGUUUCUGUUAGAUUCCCGUUCCACAGAGCAGGCAGUCUGCACAGUGGGGUCCACCUCGGGGGUGUGGACCUGAGCCCGGGGCUCCAUGACAAACCGAACACCCAACUAUGCAAGGCCUACACCUGGCCGCACCACAUGCUCUGGGCUGGGCCGUGGGGAGCCAGCGGGCAGGCAGCUGGGGCACGGCUCAUGCGAGACUCCUCCCCCUUAAUGCCCUUUGGGCCAUGUGAGUGGGGCCAGAAAACUGAGAUUCAGAAGCAGUUGCAUUCCCUUCUAGACCUUGUUCCGUCUGUUUUAGCGUAGACAUGGCCUUGGGGCCUGAGGCCUUGGCUGCUGGGGCUGGGGGCGGGGUAGGAGGCAGAGUAGUCAAGGGUGGGAAGAGGGCGUGGAUGGUGGUGGCGAGGAGGGGGCUGGCUGGGUCAGGUGGCGGGUGGGGUGGGGUGGUGAGGAGGGCAGGGGCCCGGGGGAGGCAUCAGCAGUGCUGGGGGAUGUCCCCUCUGUCCCCGGUUUGUCUUCUCUCCCUGUGGGACAGGAGCCUCAGAAAGGGCCAAGGGCAAGGUGGGCUAGCCUCGCACGGCCAGGGUCUGGCUCCGUGCCCAUCCUCCUGAUACGGCCCUCGAAUGCAUACCCUUGGGCCCCUUCUGGGCCCCCCCUGCUACUGCCUUGUGUGAAGCUGUCGGCAGGAGGGCCUAGCUUUAAUAAAGAGUGGAGAAAUGCGCUUUCUGAGUGGAUUCCAUGUUGUUGCCAUUCCUCGGUGCCUCGGAGGCUCUGCAAGGCCUCAGGCCCAUCUGGUUUCCACAAACUUUUUUGUAGGGGUUUCCCUUGACAGAAACUAGCCUUGGCCCAUGAGGCGUCAGCCGCAGACGAGCUUUGACCCCCUGCUGUCUGUGUCCACCAAGUCUUUCCAGGAGUCCCCAGUGGCCCCCCCGACUGCCACACAUUCCUUGGAACACACACACCUAUCUCGGGACGUUACUGUGUUCAGGUUUGUUUUGGCCAGCCUCCCCAUAGUCAAAGGAGAGAGCCAGGUCCCCUUCUUUGUGGUCCAGACACUCCUGAGUCACAGACCCCUCCUCAGAGGCCCCACGGCCAUGUGGGUUUAUCCAGGUCCACCCGCUCUGUGCCAGGGCACCUGCUCCCCACAGCCCCAAACCCCUUCCUCUGGACUGAUCCGUUGACUGCUUUCUUCUCACUCCGCUUUGUCCUCGUGACGAGGCCUGACCCUCCCAUCCUUUUCCCAUGGAUUUGAAAAAUGUGAACUAUGAAGUAAAUUUUCUUUUCAAAUGUGAUUCGGAGGUAUCAGAACAAAACCCAGUCUUUCAGUAGCAGGUGGAUGUUAAGAUCUAGUUAAAAAUGGGUGACCUCAAGGAUCGCAAAGUCUCUUCAGAACAGUUAAAUGAUUCCCCGAUAGAGCUCACAGUUGUCCAGCCAAAUACUUUGUUUUAGGGGGGAAAAUAAAACAACCCUGAUGGUCACAGAAAUAACGUAGACAGCCUUCCUGGUUUUGAGAGGACUUCGGGAUUUCUGGAGUCCUGAUUCCGCAUGUGUCAGUUUAGCAUCUCCCAUCAUUGCCAAGGAGGAAUGGAAGCCCCCAGCGGCCCGUGAGAUGUGACCCAUGAAAGGUGGUACUUCGAGGACCACGAGCCCCUGAGCACCCCUCGCCUUCACCUACCUUUGCCAUUUUCCUGUUUCUCUAUUACUCAAACUUCCCCAAGCUCCUGCCUUUCCUCCAACCCUUUCACUCAAUCUCUUCAAACAUUUCCCUCUAACUCUCUCUCUCUCUAAUUGGCUACCUAUGGAAUAAAAUAUUUUGAAGUUUUGGGUUAUAUUUAUUAAAUAAAGCUUUAUGAUCCUUGUUCAUUAUUUUUUUCCUGAUUAUAAAACACACGCUAGUUGUAAG
RNAcentral lists this long non-coding RNA (3039 nucleotides) under Equus asinus (donkey). Its description in RNAcentral is "lncRNA (ENSEASG00005028963.1)". Lineage: Eukaryota; Metazoa; Chordata; Mammalia; Perissodactyla; Equidae. The record is from RNAcentral.